Long non-coding RNA from Mytilus californianus (California mussel), 1353 nucleotides. RefSeq lists it as uncharacterized. The transcript is spliced from 6 exons. The record is from RefSeq and is a predicted model, not a curated record. NCBI's taxonomy places the organism in Eukaryota, Metazoa, Mollusca, Bivalvia, Mytilida, Mytilidae.
GAAGGUCACAUGAUAUAUGAGUGGGAAAUUGUUGGAAAUUAUGAUUUUGAAAAUUGGUGGUAAGAAACUUGUUCAUUGCCUUUUGGUGUUUUAUAUAGGAUAACGACCAACAUUGACAGUCAAACCUCGUCUGACCCACUAAACAAGCCCUAUGAUAUAAUAUGCUCCCAAAAAAACCUAUGAUAUUAUAACAUUAUUUUCUACCCAGAACUUACAUGUUCAUUGAAACAACUCGUAACUUAAGGUAAGAAAUAUAUUUCACAUUAGCAGUUGACUAAACUUCAUACAUGUAUAUACAAAAAAUGUUAUAAAUAGUUUCCAACACUGGCAACAUGUAAGUCAAAUAAAAUGGAAUGAGUUACAUUUUGUACCUUAAUUUAUUACCAAGAUAUUAUCAAAAAUGCUACUCAUGCUUGAUGAUAUAGUAUAUUUUCCCUUGUAAGAAUUUAUAUUCAUUUCUGAUACCAAUCUAACAAAGUCUCCAUUCAAUAAGUAUUCAAUGUUUUCAGCUAACAUUAUUAUUUUAAAUUUGACAGUGUUCAGCAGAAAGUAUUACAAUGAGAUUUGUAUGGCAGAGAUCAAACACAAUAUAUCUAGAAGAACAUAUACUGACACAUGGAAUAUAAAGAAGAAGCUAGAGUUAUUAUUUCAAAUUAGUCUGUGUUCAGCGGCAAGUAUUACAAUGUGAUUUGGAUGAGAACAAAAGAUGUAUAUCUUGAGGCACAUACUGACCCAUAGAAAAAAGAGAAUAAGGAAAGACAGUGAAAAACGGGAAAUAUUUGAAAGGCUAGAGUUAUUAUUUCAAAUUAGUCUGUGUUCAGCGGCAAGUAUUACAAUGUGAUUUGGAUGAGAACAAAAGAUGUAUAUCUUGAGGCACAUACUGACCCAUAGAAAAAAGAGAAUAAGGAAAGACAGUGAAAAACGGGAAAUAUUUGAAAGGCUAGAGUUAUUAUUUCAAAUUAGUCUGUGUUCAGCGGCAAGUAUUACAAUGUGAUUUGGAUGAGAACAAAAGAUGUAUAUCUUGAGGCACAUACUGACCCAUAGAAUAAAGAGAAUAAGGAAAGACAGUGAAAAACAGGAAAUAUUUGAAAGGCUAGAGUUAUUAUUUCAAAUUGGACAGUGUUCAGCGGCAAGUAUUACAAUGUGAUUUGGGUGAGAACAAAAGAUAUAUAUCUUGAGGCACAUACUAACACAUGGAAUAUUCAAGAAUUAUGUACAGAGAAUUAUGAAAGAUAGUGAAAAGCUGGAAAUAUUUGAUAAGCUUAAACAGAAUAUCUAUCCAGCACUUGAAACUAUUUUUUUCAUCAAAUUAGCAUGAAGUUUUAUACUUUACAGAAGUUUCAUUCAUUACUG